AGCGAACGCUGGCGGCAUGCCUAACACAUGCAAGUCGAACGAGACCUUCGGGUCUAGUGGCGCACGGGUGCGUAACGCGUGGGAACCUGCCCUUAGGUUCGGAAUAACUCCCCGAAAGGGGUGCUAAUACCGGAUAAUGUCUUCGGACCAAAGAUUUAUCGCCUUUGGAUGGGCCCGCGUUGGAUUAGCUAGUUGGUAGGGUAAAAGCCUACCAAGGCGACGAUCCAUAGCUAGUCUGAGAGGAUGAUCAGCCACACUGGGACUGAGACACGGCCCAGACUCCUACGGGAGGCAGCAGUGGGGAAUAUUGGACAAUGGGCGAAAGCCUGAUCCAGCAAUGCCGCGUGAGUGAUGAAGGCCUUAGGGUUGUAAAGCUCUUUUACCCGGGAUGAUAAUGACAGUACCGGGAGAAUAAGCUCCGGCUAACUCCGUG
This 433-nucleotide ribosomal RNA is filed under the name uncultured bacterium. RNAcentral's name for it is "partial 16S ribosomal RNA". It matches the Rfam family "Bacterial small subunit ribosomal RNA", at positions 29 to 507 of the family's 1533-position model. The record is from RNAcentral.